This 521-nucleotide ribosomal RNA is filed under the name bacterium ID4-2. RNAcentral describes it as "bacterial SSU rRNA". It matches the Rfam family "Bacterial small subunit ribosomal RNA", at positions 32 to 525 of the family's 1533-position model. The record is from RNAcentral.
AUUUUAACGCUGGCCGGCAGGCCUAACNCAUGCAAGUCGACCGGNAAACGAGUUAUCUGAACCUUCGGGGAACGAUAACGGCGUCGAGCGGCGGACGGGUGAGUAAUGCCUAGGAAAUUGCCCUGAUGUGGGGGAUAACCAUUGGAAACGAUGGCUAAUACCGCAUGAUGCCUACGGGCCAAAGAGGGGGACCUUCGGGCCUCUCGCGUCAGGAUAUGCCUAGGUGGGAUUAGCUAGUUGGUGAGGUAAGGGCUCACCAAGGCNACGAUCCCUAGCUGGUCUGAGAGGAUGAUCAGCCACACUGGAACUGAGACACGGUCCAGACUCCUACGGGAGGCAGCAGUGGGGAAUAUUGCACAAUGGGCGCAAGCCUGAUGCAGCCAUGCCGCGUGUAUGAAGAAGGCCUUCGGGUUGUAAAGUACUUUCAGUCGUGAGGAAGGUGGUNUNGUUAAUAGCNCNAUCAUUUGACGUUAGCGACAGAAGAAGCACCGGCUAACUCCGUGCCAGCAGCCGCNGUAAUA